Molecule: long non-coding RNA, 278 nt
Filed under: Carica papaya (papaya)
Lineage: Eukaryota; Viridiplantae; Streptophyta; Magnoliopsida; Brassicales; Caricaceae
Description: long non-coding RNA (CPAP_LNC009837)
Source: RNAcentral
GUGGGCCAGUUUAAAGUAAGAAAAGAAAAUAAAAACAAAGAACAGUGAUAGAUAAAACAAAGGAAAUAAAAAUAUAUAUAAGGAGUGGAAAUUUUAAUUUAUAUGGGCCAAGCCUUUUUGGGCUUCAUGUCCAUGUGAAUAAAAUACUAGUGAAGAUUAAAUUAGGCCAAGUAAGGGCAAAUCUAUUGGGCUUCUGGCCCAAGAUCUAAGAAAAUAGAAUGUCUACUCACGUGGGAGAUGAAUAAUUAAUGGGAUGAGGGAAUAAAGGUUAGGAUAAU